UACAGAGGUGGCAAGCGUUGUUCGGAAUUACUGGGCGUAAAGGGCGCGUAGGCGGCCCGUCAAGUCCCGUGUGAAAGCCCCCGGCUCAACCGGGGAACUGCACGGGAAACUAGCAGGCUUGAGUUCGGGAGAGGGAAGCGGAAUUUCGGGUGUAGCGGUGAAAUGCGCAGAUAUCCGAAGGAACACCGGUGGCGAAGGCGGCUUCCUGGACAGAAACUGACGCUGAGGCGCGAAAGCUAGGGGAGCAAACGGG
RNAcentral lists this ribosomal RNA (253 nucleotides) under uncultured bacterium. RNAcentral describes it as "partial 16S ribosomal RNA". It matches the Rfam family "Bacterial small subunit ribosomal RNA", at positions 524 to 776 of the family's 1533-position model. The record is from RNAcentral.